RNAcentral lists this ribosomal RNA (341 nucleotides) under uncultured bacterium. RNAcentral describes it as "bacterial SSU rRNA". It matches the Rfam family "Bacterial small subunit ribosomal RNA", at positions 917 to 1267 of the family's 1533-position model. The record is from RNAcentral.
GGACCCGCACAAGCGGUGGAGUAUGUGGUUUAAUUCGAUGCAACACGAAGAACCUUACCAGGGUUUGAAAUCAUUUCAAAACUCCUUGAAAGAGGAGCCUCCUUCGGGAUGAAAUGACAGGUGGUGCAUGGCUGUCGUCAGCUCGUGUUGUGAAAAUGUCGAGUUAAGUCUCGUAACGAGCGCAACCCAUGUCUCUUGUUGCUCACUGAGUGCUUAAGAGAGACUGCCGACCAACAUCGGAGGAAGGUGUGGAUGAUGUCAAGUCAGCAUGCCCCUUACAUCCUGGGCUACACACGUACUACAAUGGUAAGGACAAUGAGCUGCGAUCCUGCGAAGGCUAG